Peromyscus leucopus (white-footed mouse) is the source of this 1044-nucleotide long non-coding RNA. RefSeq lists it as uncharacterized. The record is from RefSeq and is a predicted model, not a curated record. NCBI's taxonomy places the organism in Eukaryota, Metazoa, Chordata, Mammalia, Rodentia, Cricetidae. The transcript is spliced from 3 exons.
GCUCCCCUCCAAUCCCCUCCAACUUCCCAACACCCCUCAGGGACAGACAGCAGGCUGUUUCCCACCCCCUAGCUACAGCUGGUGCCUCCCACAGCUCUGCCCAGGAGCCUUGUCAAAGGCUCACAAGCGCCAUGGGAACCACCAUCCUGGCGAGAUAAGAUGAAGGCUGCGAUCAGGCUUUCAGAUUUGUAGUCUGAAGCCCAGCUUGGGUCCUGUAUGCCUCUUCUGACUAGAAGUCCAGGUGGCAUCUGUGAGGCCCACUGGUGUGUGACGUGUGCCGGCGUCCCAACCCUUUUCACAGCGGAACCACAUUCCACUGCAGGAAAUUCUGACACAUGCUACAACAUCAACCCCGGGGUUAAGAUGCUCAGUAAAAGAACCAGUGCUCUAGGCUCUACUUCUAUGAGGCCCUUGGAGGUAUCAUCAGCAGAGAGAAGGUAGAAGGGUGGGCGUCAGGGACUGGGGAGAGGGGCAAGGGAAUGGUUUAUUGGGAGAUGAGAAUGUGGCGAUGGUUGGUAACCACAGGAAGUGGGUAAUGUCUGCUGUGUUUACUUAUCACAACAGAAAAAGUCAAGGAAAACAGAUAGAAUUGACUGUAUUUAAAGACCAUAUUGUAUAAUCAGCCAUUUCCAGCACGAGUCCAGUGGAUGCCACGUUAGAAGGUAAACACAGGGUAAGGCAUUCCCAUGGCCACAGUGCCACUUCUGAGACCCUUACCAGUGACAGAAGGAAGCACAGUGGCUUCACGGUUGGGAGACCUGACAGGCCUUGCCCAAGGGACUACAACAACAGCAACAACACAGUGAAAGGCACACUUGAUAUUGCAUCCAAGUUUAUCUGAUCACCACUUAAAAGCCACUUUCCAAGAGCCAAGAGUUAGUGGGCAGGAGAUGGAGUUUACUCGAGGACUGUUACCCUGAGAGGCUGGAAAGCAAUCUUCCCUCAAAGGGUGGGAUGGGGGCAGAGUAUGGAGAGAUGGUUCAGUGGUUAAGAACACUUGUUCUUGCAGAGGGCCUAGGUUCAAAUCCCAGUACUCAUGUGGCA